RNAcentral lists this ribosomal RNA (491 nucleotides) under uncultured bacterium. RNAcentral describes it as "bacterial SSU rRNA". It matches the Rfam family "Bacterial small subunit ribosomal RNA", at positions 28 to 507 of the family's 1533-position model. The record is from RNAcentral.
GAUGAACGCUAGCUACAGGCUUAACACAUGCAAGUCGAGGGGAAACGACAGUAAAGCUUGCUUUAUUGGGCGUCGACCGGCGCACGGGUGCGUAACGCGUAUCCAACCUGCCCACCACUUGGGAAUAACCUUGCGAAAGUAAGACUAAUACCCAAUGACGUCUCUAGAAGACAUCUGAAAGAGAUUAAAGAUUUAUCGGUGAUGGAUGGGGAUGCGUCUGAUUAGCUUGUUGGCGGGGUAACGGCCCACCAAGGCGACGAUCAGUAGGGGUUCUGAGAGGAAGGUCCCCCCACAUUGGAACUGAGACACGGUCCAAACUCCUACGGGAGGCAGCAGUGAGGAAUAUUGGUCAAUGGGCGGAAGCCUGAACCAGCCAAGUAGCGUGAGGGAUGACUGCCCCAUGGGUUGUAAACCUCUUUUAUAAGGGAAUAAAAUACGGGACGUGUCCUGUUUUGCAUGUACCUUAUGAAUAAGGACCGGCUAAUUCCGUG